CAGCAGCUCAGAAGAAAGAUCCAUCGGUCUUCUGGGUGGCCCCUUGUUGCGUGGAAGUGCCCGCUGACCCCUUUUACCUCUGUUUGGCCACCAACUUCUUCUCCCAAGAGUUGACCAUCGAGCGGGAGCCACCGUGGGCCUCCCCCUCCCUCUCCUUCCCGCUCUUAUUGGCCAGGAGUGUCCAAUCAGAAGGCUACAUCGCCAGCCGAGCCUACAAGGUCCCCAACGGUGGCUACCCCGUGACGUGCCGCGUCCACAACACUGGUUCUCAGACCAGUGUCCUCAAGAAUUUGACCAAGGAUGGUAGGACAUGGCGGGGGGAGAGGGUUGGGGACGUGGGGUGACCUCGUGGUGGCCACCCAUCUCCACGUCCCUCUUGGUGGCCCUGGGGGAACCCCCGUGUGAAGGUGACUUCGUGGUGGCCACCCAUCUCCACGUCCCUCUCGGUGGCCCUGGGGGAACCCCCGUGUGAAGGUGACUUCGUGGUGGCCACCCAUCCCCACGUCCCUCUCGGUGGCCCUGGGGGAACCCCCGUGUGAAGGUGACUUCGUGGUGGCCACCCAUCCCCACGUCCCUCUCGGUGGCCCUGGGGGAACCCCCGUGUGAAGGUGACUUCGUGGUGGCCACCCAUCCCCACGUCCCUCUUGGUGGCCCUGGGGGAACCACCAUGGGUGGCCCUGUUGGGACCCCAGGGGGAAGGUGACCUCAUGGUGGCCAUCCAUCCCCACGUCCCUCUUGUAGCUUGUAGGUCACAGCCGGAAACACUCGAGGUGGUCCUGGUGGAACCCCGAUGUGAAGAUGGUGGGGAUGAGGUGGAUCUGGAGCUUCUCUGCAUCUUCUGGAGCUCCGCGGUGGAGAAGAUCGAAGUGUCCUGGCUGCUGAACGGGGAGGAGAUGCCACCUCCCACCUCCACCAGUGAGGUGGAGGGUGGGAGGAGCUCGUUGAAAAUCAAGAGGUCCAGCUGGGACAAAGGGGACCUCUACACCUGCAAGGUGACCACGUCGGGGGGAAGGAACGUGGUGAUGAGGAACACCAGCAAGUGCACGGCCUGUUGGGGGGCCACCACGACCCCCAACCUCUUCAUCACUCAACCCUCCUACGCCGACCUCCUGGCCGGCCAGGCCGUGGCCACCUGCCUUCUCCUGGGGUGGCACCUCCGGGGGGCCACCCUCUCCUGGGAGGGGGACACCCUGGGGACCCCGGGACUCACCCCUCACCCCAACGGCACCCAAGGUCUUCUCCUGACCCGCCCCGUCUCCCUCAGCCAGUGGGUGGCCGGUGACACCCUCAGGUGCUUGGCCACCCUCCCCUGUCGCCCCAGCCUUCACCAGAACCUCCAACUGGGACCCAACAGUGAGUUAUGGGGGUGUACUGGGACAUACUGGGCCAUACUGGGCUGUACUGGGCCAUAUGGGACCAUACGUGGUCAUACUGGGCCCUACUGGGUUGUACUGGGCCCUACUGGGCCAUACUGGGCCGUACUGGGCUGUACUGGGAUGUACUGGGCCAUAUGGGACCAUA
Molecule: long non-coding RNA, 1521 nt
Filed under: Calidris pugnax (ruff)
Lineage: Eukaryota; Metazoa; Chordata; Aves; Charadriiformes; Scolopacidae
Description: lncRNA (ENSCPUG00000005741.1)
Source: RNAcentral